AUGUAUUUAAAGUGAUGAAAGGGAAAAAUUUAUAACCAAGAAUACUCUAUCCAGCAAGGCUCUCAUUCAGAUUUGAUGGAGAAAUCAAAAGCUUCACAGAUAAACAAAAGCUAAAAGAAUUCAACACCACCAAAACAGCUUUACAACAAAUUGAAAGAACUUCUCUAGUCAUCAAACCAAAAGAGAAUCAAGAGAGAGAGAGAGAGAGAAAA
Vicugna pacos (alpaca) is the source of this 212-nucleotide non-coding RNA. Lineage: Eukaryota; Metazoa; Chordata; Mammalia; Artiodactyla; Camelidae. The record is from RefSeq and is a predicted model, not a curated record.